RNAcentral lists this transfer RNA (72 nucleotides) under Bacteroidales bacterium. RNAcentral's name for it is "tRNA-His". It matches the Rfam family "tRNA". Rfam says of the family: Transfer RNA (tRNA) molecules are approximately 80 nucleotides in length. Their secondary structure includes four short double-helical elements and three loops (D, anti-codon, and T loops). The record is from RNAcentral. Lineage: Bacteria; Pseudomonadati; Bacteroidota; Bacteroidia; Bacteroidales.
GUGGCCAUGGUGUAGUGGUUAGCACGGCAAUUUGUGGAAUUGUCAGCGAGGGUUCAAAUCCCUCUGGCCACC